GACGAACGCUGGCGGCGUGCCUAAUACAUGCAAGUUGAGCGCUGAAGGUUGGUACUUGUACCAACUGGAUGAGCAGCGAACGGGUGAGUAACGCGUGGGUAAUCUGCCUUUGAGCGGGGGACAACAUUUGGAAACGAAUGCUAAUACCGCAUAAAAACUUUAAACACAAGUUUUAAGUUUGAAAGAUGCAAUUGCAUCACUCAAAGAUGAUCCCGCGUUGUAUUAGCUAGUUGGUGAGGUAAAGGCUCACCAAGGCGAUGAUACAUAGCCGACCUGAGAGGGGGAAGCGGCCAAAUGGGAAUGAGAAAAGGCCCAAAAUCCUACGGGAGGCAGCAGUAGGGAAUCUUCGGCAAUGGACGAAAGUCUGACCGAGCAACGCCGCGGGAGGGAAGAAGGUUUUCGGAUCGUAAAACUCUGUUGGUAGAGAAGAACGUUGGUGAGAGUGGAAAGCUCAUCAAGUGACGGUAACUACCCAGAAAGGGACGGCUAACUACGUG
RNAcentral lists this ribosomal RNA (497 nucleotides) under uncultured bacterium. Its description in RNAcentral is "partial 16S ribosomal RNA". It matches the Rfam family "Bacterial small subunit ribosomal RNA", at positions 28 to 507 of the family's 1533-position model. The record is from RNAcentral.